GAUCAUUACCGAGUUUUCGGGCUUCGGCUCGACUCUCCCACCCUUUGUGAACGUACCUCUGUUGCUUUGGCGGCUCCGGCCGCCAAAGGACCUCCAAACUCCAGUCAGUAAACGCAGACGUCUGAUAAACAAGUUAAUAAACUAAAACUUUCAACAACGGAUCUCUUGGUUCUGGCAUCGAUGAAGAACGCAGCGAAAUGCGAUAAGUAAUGUGAAUUGCAGAAUUCAGUGAAUCAUCGAAUCUUUGAACGCACAUUGCGCCCCUUGGUAUUCCGGGGGGCAUGCCUGUUCGAGCGUCAUUACAACCCUCAAGCUCUGCUUGGAAUUGGGCACCGUCCUCACUGCGGACGCGCCUCAAAGACCUCGGCGGUGGCUGUUCAGCCCUCAAGCGUAGUAGAAUACACCUCGCUUUGGAGUGGUUGGCGUCGCCCGCCGGACGAACCUUCUGAACUUUUCUCAAGGUUGACCUCGGAUCAGGUAGGGAUACCCGCUGAACUUAAGCAUAUCAUA
RNAcentral lists this ribosomal RNA (510 nucleotides) under Lasiodiplodia pseudotheobromae. Its description in RNAcentral is "eukaryotic LSU rRNA". The stretch from base 146 to 299 matches the Rfam family "5.8S ribosomal RNA". The record is from RNAcentral. Lineage: Eukaryota; Fungi; Ascomycota; Dothideomycetes; Botryosphaeriales; Botryosphaeriaceae.